GCGCCCUUAGCUCAGCCGGAUAGAGCAACAGCCUUCUAAGCUGUAGGUCGUUGGUUCGAAUCCAACAGGGCGCACCA
Molecule: transfer RNA, 77 nt
Filed under: Parcubacteria group bacterium ADurb.Bin192
Lineage: Bacteria
Also listed under: 1 other name
Description: tRNA-Arg
Rfam family: tRNA
About the family: Transfer RNA (tRNA) molecules are approximately 80 nucleotides in length. Their secondary structure includes four short double-helical elements and three loops (D, anti-codon, and T loops).
Source: RNAcentral